CCUACGGGUGGCAGCAGUGAGGAAUAUUGGUCAAUGGGCGAGAGCCUGAACCAGCCAAGUCGCGUGAAGGAUGAAGGAUCUAUGGAUUGUAAACUUCUGUUAUAUGGGAAUAAAGUGAGGAACGUGUUCCUUUUUGUAUGUACCAUAUGAAUAAGCAUCGGCUAACUCCGUGCCAGCAGCCGCGGUAAUACGGAGGAUGCGAGCGUUAUCCGGAUUUAUUGGGUUUACAGGGUGCGUAGGUGGUUACUUAAGUCAGCGGUGAAAGUUGGUGGCUCAACCCUAAAAUUGCCGUUGAAACGGGUUGCCUUGAGUAUAUUUGAGGUCGCCGGAAUGCGUGGUGUAGCGGU
Molecule: ribosomal RNA, 347 nt
Filed under: uncultured bacterium
Lineage: Bacteria
Description: partial 16S ribosomal RNA
Rfam family: Bacterial small subunit ribosomal RNA
Source: RNAcentral